Hirundo rustica (Barn swallow) is the source of this 1233-nucleotide long non-coding RNA. RefSeq lists it as uncharacterized. The transcript is spliced from 5 exons. The record is from RefSeq and is a predicted model, not a curated record. NCBI's taxonomy places the organism in Eukaryota, Metazoa, Chordata, Aves, Passeriformes, Hirundinidae.
GUGAGGGGGAAUCAUGGAGGAGCCUUGAGGAAGAGGGAACCAGAGACUCAUGAAGAAGCUCCUGAGGAGAGAGAAUCCCUGCUGUGAGUUUCUCUGCUACCGUUAGGAGUAUCUCCACUUCACUUCUUUAGACCCCCCAAGUUAAUUCUGAUCCAGAAAGAAAACUGAGAGACAACAAGAAAAGGGCAGAGACCAGAGUAUUGAAAGAAUGCUGCAGAUGUUCUCAUUUAAACGUUCUGUGUCCUGUUAAGUAGAUGAGAGAGAAGUCUCCGUGCAAAGUCUCAACCACUUUUCAGAAUGAAGGUUAUGGAAAUAUUUUCCUUCUCCAUCAGGUUUUUUCAUCAUAUUGCUUCUGUCUCCUGAAUUCUUCCCUUUACCACCAAGGGCCUAGAGUGCGACAUUUAUUCCUACUACAGACAGUCUUCUCUGGUAUCAAGUUUUCACAGUCGUAGGAGACCAAAUUUCUAACCUAAAUUCCUUGGCACAGGAAUGUGCCACAUAAAACACAAUGAACUUUUAUCCUAGUAUGAUGUGCUUUCUUCUACUGUUGGCAUGAGUGGCUGUAAUCGGAUUAGGAAGAAGGAAAAAAGGUCUAGAGAAUAAGAAAUAUGGCAGCAUGGAAAUGUACAACUGAAAAGGAGCAAAGUAGAGUCAGCAUAACUUUUCCUUUUCUGCUGCAAGAAAACUGGAGUUUCUAAAACAAGUUGUAUUUUAAAAAAUAUAAAGCAAGCUGCCCAUUUCAUUUAAUGUCUUCUGAGAUUCAGUGUUGGAAAGUUCUCCUGUUCCCCAAGGAUGCAGUGGAUUUUCAUUUCAUCCCAUGGCAGAUUAGCCUGGAAGAAUAGCUUCUUCCUGCCCAGGAGCCAAGUAGCUGGGGAAAAGGCACCAGUGAAGGGAUAACAACACAGAGCAGUAUUCCUUGGGGAUGCUGCAGGCCAGGACCUGAGUGCCUCUGCCUAAUUCAAGCUCUACAUUCCACUUUAUGGAGUAAAUGGAAUUUAUGGAAUAUGGAAGCACUUUAUGACAUCUGUGAGGACUGCUGUGGUCUGGAGGCUUUCACAGUUCAUCUAGCAUCAGCUAGGAAUUUGUGACCAUGUUGGAUGAAACAAUUUGGGACAUUGUACUCCAGAGGGUAGAGAGCGUUCUCUUUGCCUGUGCUGAAACACUAACUUGGCUUUUGUAGAAUAAAGUGCAUUUUCAAGACUAUCUCACCCGUCUUCUAAAUAAAUUCAUAAA